Molecule: ribosomal RNA, 468 nt
Filed under: uncultured bacterium
Lineage: Bacteria
Description: partial 16S ribosomal RNA
Rfam family: Bacterial small subunit ribosomal RNA
Source: RNAcentral
GACGAACGCUGGCGGCGUGCUUAACACAUGCAAGUCGAACGGAAAGGCCCUGCUCUUGCGGGGUGCUCGUUAGGCGAACGGGUGAGUAACACGCGAGUAACCCGCCCUUGACCUUGUGAUAACUUCUGGAAACUGGGGCUAAAACCGGAUAGGAUCUUCUGCUCCACGGUGGGGGAUGGUAAGUUUCGGCGGUUGGGGAUGUACUCGAGGCUUAUCAGCUUGUUGGUGAGGUAGUGGCUUACCAAGGCUUUGAAGGGUAGCCGGCCUGAGAGGGUGACCGGCCACAUUGGGACUGAGGUACGGAGCAGACUCCUACGGGAGGCAGCAGUGGGGAAUAUUGCGCAAUGAGCGGAAGCCUGAUGCAACAACGCCGCGUGCGGGAUGCCGGCCUUCGGGUUGUAAACCGCUUUCGCCUGUGACGAAGCGUGAGUGACGGUAAUGGGUAAGAAAGCACCGGCUAACUACGUG